RNAcentral lists this ribosomal RNA (667 nucleotides) under uncultured beta proteobacterium. RNAcentral's name for it is "bacterial SSU rRNA". It matches the Rfam family "Bacterial small subunit ribosomal RNA", at positions 54 to 723 of the family's 1533-position model. Lineage: Bacteria; Pseudomonadati; Pseudomonadota; Betaproteobacteria. The record is from RNAcentral.
CAUGCAAGUCGAACGGUAACAGGUUAAGCUGACGAGUGGCGAACGGGUGAGUAAUGUAUCGGAACGUGCCCAGUCGUGGGGGAUAACUGCUCGAAAGAGCAGCUAAUACCGCAUACGACCUGAGGGUGAAAGCGGGGGAUCGCAAGACCUCGCGCGAUUGGAGCGGCCGAUAUCAGAUUAGGUAGUUGGUGGGGUAAAGGCUCACCAAGCCAACGAUCUGUAGCUGGUCUGAGAGGACGACCAGCCACACUGGGACUGAGACACGGCCCAGACUCCUACGGGAGGCAGCAGUGGGGAAUUUUGGACAAUGGGCGCAAGCCUGAUCCAGCCAUGCCGCGUGCGGGAAGAAGGCCUUCGGGUUGUAAACCGCUUUUGUCAGGGAAGAAAAGGUUCUGGCUAAUACCUGGGACUCAUGACGGUACCUGAAGAAUAGGCACCGGCUAACUACGUGCCAGCAGCCGCGGUAAUACGUAGGGUGCAAGCGUUAAUCGGAAUUACUGGGCGUAAAGCGUGCGCAGGCGGUUAUGCAAGACAGAGGUGAAAUCCCCGGGCUCAACCUGGGAACUGCCUUUGUGACUGCAUAGCUAGAGUGCGGCAGAGGGGGAUGGAAUUCCGCGUGUAGCAGUGAAAUGCGUAGAUAUGCGGAGGAACACCGAUGGCGAAGGCA